AGAGAGAGAGGGGAGGGGGGACAUGCAGCAAAGGGCCGCAGGUUGGAUUCAAACCCGGGCCGCUGCAAGACUCAGCCGACAUGGGGCGAACGCUGUUAUUGGGUAAGCUUGGGGCCGCCCAAUCAUUGUUA
Molecule: long non-coding RNA, 131 nt
Organism: Etheostoma spectabile (orangethroat darter)
Lineage: Eukaryota; Metazoa; Chordata; Actinopteri; Perciformes; Percidae
Exons: 3
Source: RefSeq, a predicted model, not a curated record